GGCGAGGGGAGUGAAAAAGAACCUGAAACCGUGUACGUACAAGCAGUGGGAGCACAGGUUUACCUGUGUGACUGCGUACCUUUUGUAUAAUGGGUCAGCGACUUAUAUUCUGUAGCAAGGUUAACCGAAUAGGGGAGCCGUAGGGAAACCGAGUCUUAACCGGGCGUUAAGUUGCAGGGUAUAGACCCGAAACCCGGUGAUCUAGCCAUGGGCAGGUUGAAGGUUGGGUAACACUAACUGGAGGACCGAACCGACUAAUGUUGAAAAA
This 268-nucleotide ribosomal RNA is filed under the name Salmonella enterica subsp. enterica serovar Goldcoast. RNAcentral's name for it is "partial 23S ribosomal RNA". It matches the Rfam family "Bacterial large subunit ribosomal RNA", at positions 528 to 796 of the family's 2925-position model. Lineage: Bacteria; Pseudomonadati; Pseudomonadota; Gammaproteobacteria; Enterobacterales; Enterobacteriaceae. RNAcentral also lists the same sequence under 1 other name. The record is from RNAcentral.